Molecule: ribosomal RNA, 484 nt
Filed under: Escherichia coli
Lineage: Bacteria; Pseudomonadati; Pseudomonadota; Gammaproteobacteria; Enterobacterales; Enterobacteriaceae
Description: bacterial SSU rRNA
Rfam family: Bacterial small subunit ribosomal RNA
Source: RNAcentral
UUAAAUUGAAGAGUUUGAUCAUGGCUCAGAUUGAACGCUGGCGGCAGGCCUAACACAUGCAAGUCGAACGGUAACAGAAAGAAGCUUGCUUCUUUGCUGACGAGUGGCGGACGGGUGAGUAAUGUCUGGGAAACUGCCUGAUGGAGGGGGAUAACUACUGGAAACGGUAGCUAAUACCGCAUAACGUCGCAAGACCAAAGAGGGGGACCUUCGGGCCUCUUGCCAUCGGAUGUGCCCAGAUGGGAUUAGCUUGUUGGUGGGGUAACGGCUCACCAAGGCGACGAUCCCUAGCUGGUCUGAGAGGAUGACCAGCCACACUGGAACUGAGACACGGUCCAGACUCCUACGGGAGGCAGCAGUGGGGAAUAUUGCACAAUGGGCGCAAGCCUGAUGCAGCCAUGCCGCGUGUAUGAAGAAGGCCUUCGGGUUGUAAAGUACUUUCAGCGGGGAGGAAGGGAGUAAAGUUAAUACCUUUGCUCAUUGA